This 71-nucleotide transfer RNA is filed under the name Escherichia coli. Its description in RNAcentral is "tRNA-Gln". It matches the Rfam family "tRNA". From Rfam's summary of the family: Transfer RNA (tRNA) molecules are approximately 80 nucleotides in length. Their secondary structure includes four short double-helical elements and three loops (D, anti-codon, and T loops). RNAcentral also lists the same sequence under 1 other name. Lineage: Bacteria; Pseudomonadati; Pseudomonadota; Gammaproteobacteria; Enterobacterales; Enterobacteriaceae. The record is from RNAcentral.
GGGUAUCGCCAAGCGGUAAGGCACCGGUUUUUGAUACCGGCAUUCCCUGGUUCGAAUCCAGGUACCCACCA